GUUCUGACCAUGCCUGUGGCCAGCUGGGAAAACAUGAGCAGAACUAGGUUUUCAUAUUUUUAUGAUUAUCUCUUUUUGUCUACACAGGUGAACAUACAAAACUUACGCUCACUCUUGAGUCUGACUAUAACCAAGACAGUACCAUUGAGCUCAAAAUUAAGUCCACCGUGACCUUCCACUGCAUAACCAAGUCCCACCCAGUGACCUCUUAUCACUGGACUUUCAACGGCAGCAGUCUGGACCACACAGGGGAUCAGCUCACCCUACACAAUGUGUCCUGGGCCCACCAGGACAUGCUCCUCUCACUACAAGCAGGCCCAAGCCUCCAGCUCAGCUAAGAUCAUCCUUAGAGUGGUAGAUUCUCAGGAUUCUUCUGGACCCUCACCAUCUAGGGAAGUCAACCUCAUCUUCCUCAUUGUGACUGCUGUCCUGGCUGGACUGGUGAUAGCUGAGGGUGUGGGCUGUAUUCUGUUUAUUAGGAAUAUCCAAAGGUAACCAUGUUUCCUCUAUUGCUUACCUGUUUAGCAGCAGAUCACCAACCAAGGGUGUGGUCAGUCAUCACCCCUGACCCUACCACCAAGGGAGGACUGGCCACUGCAAAGACAGGUUAGGGUAGAGGCCCUAACAUCAGCAGAAACAAUGUUGGUCCCUCUGGUAGAGUACAUCAUGGAGAGGAAAGCUGGUAGUGGUGAGAACAUAGCGAUCUUGGAAAGACUGGUACCACAUUGUCAUGGUGGGCCACAUCAUGGUAGGGAGGGCUAUGGGGUGAUAACCUGACAGCAGACCAUAGUCAUAAAGCAUGUAAAUGGCAAGUGGGGUCUGUGUCCAGGGGAAGCAACAGGAUCCGAGAGCGACAGAACUGAAGGGCAGAGAGAUGGCUGGGUGGUCUGUGGUGCAGAGAAGCAAGCAGGAUGAAGUAAUGGUCGCUCAAAUGGUUCUGAAGCAGGGGAGCAAGCAGUUCAUACUUAUCAGAGGUCAAGAAUCCCAGGAGUGAGGAGCAUCAGAGGUUAGAAGUAACAGAGCUCGAACAAGCAGCAGAUCUGGGAGGUACACGGAGAACAGUCAUCCAGGAACUCAGAUACUUCAGUAUCUAACCUCGUAUCUAACUCUACGAAGAUGUUUCUGUGUCUAACUCUCCACAGGUGCUUCUGUAUCUAAGGCAAAAACAAAUCCCCCAAAUGUUGCUGUGACGUGCUGGAGCCAUUUCUACCGGCUACAGAGCUGAUUGUUAAAUUUUCAGCUUCAGAAUUUACGCGUUGGAAAUUGGCAAAUGCCAACCAGGGCUUGAUUUCUUGCGCUGUUGACUGUUGAUUGUCUUAGACUUAAGAAAUAGAUGGAUGUAAAAAAAAAAGAAAUAGAUGGAUAAAAUCUUAAUAAUAAUGGAAAUCAAACUUUAGAAAUGUGUCCUGCAUGCAUUUGUUUUCAGAGCCAGUAGUUAAACAUUUACCAACAAUCCCUUGCCCACAUCCUUCCUGUGAUGCCUGUGAAUAUGGGCAACCCAACAUCUUAAGAUUGGCUCCUACUUUGAGGCAAUGUGGAAUGAGCUCUAGACUUGGAGAGCCAACCACUUACGAGCUGUGUGGCCAUGAGCACCACCGUCUUUCCCCUCUCUGAGCCUUCAUGUCCCCAUGUGGAAAGGAAGGAGGUUGGGGCCUCCUUUGGGACAUGGUCUCUAGAACCUCCUUCUGAUGAUCCCCAGGAUGAACCAGUCCUAAAAAGUCACUAACUCAGGGAUUUUCCCUACUCUUCCCUUUCAGGGCUUCACAGAAACAGCUGGAAGCUGUACAACCAGGUGAGGAGAGUCAUGCAGUCAGGAUCCAAAGUGAGUAUUGCUAACCGUAGUAAAGGAAGUCAAAGCAACUGAGCCAUGGGAGCAGGAAGGAAGCAGCUGCAAGACAGAGUCCUGGUGGUUAGGAAAGGAGGGAACCUUUUUUCCUCCUCUAAAGCAGAACCUCUAGAUUGUUAUUUUAGACUGGCCCCUUAUGUUGUUGAUCCACUAUGGAGCGGGUGAAGGGUGGGGAAAGAAGAGAGAGAAAGAGAGGAAGACAGAGAGAGAUGGAGAAGAAGACAGGGACACAAAAGGAGGCAGAAAGAGACAGAGAGACAGAACACAAAGCAAGAUUUCUCUUCUGUAUUGUGUGUAUCCCUAGUGUGUAGACUUAGUUUACAUCUCUUCAAAAUAAGGGGAUUGAUCUAAAUCAUCUCUAAGGUCCUUUAGUGAAACUGCAUGACUUUGAGUCAGGAAGAAUCAGGUUCAAAUAUCACUUCUGACACUUGCUGUGUGACUACGGGCAAGUCACUUAACUGCCCUGUGCCUCAGUUUCCCCAUCUGCAAAAUGAAGAUAAUGAUACCCUUAGGACCUACUUUGUAAGGUUGUUGUGAAGCUUAAAUGAAGUAAUAUAUGUAAAGUUUGCUCUACCAACUUUAAAAUGCUGAAUAAACAUCAGUGAUGAUGAUGCUGAUGUAGAAGA
Molecule: long non-coding RNA, 2472 nt
Organism: Phascolarctos cinereus (koala)
Lineage: Eukaryota; Metazoa; Chordata; Mammalia; Diprotodontia; Phascolarctidae
Source: Ensembl